RNAcentral lists this long non-coding RNA (3300 nucleotides) under Olea europaea subsp. europaea. The record is from RNAcentral. Lineage: Eukaryota; Viridiplantae; Streptophyta; Magnoliopsida; Lamiales; Oleaceae.
AUAAUUAACAUAAGUCAUGUCAACCACCAUUCUUUCGAAUAAAACAAGCAAUCAAGCAUCUAGAAACUGAAGAAAAAUUAACAUCAAUUCUCCAAUGUUCGACAUCACUAUGUUCAUAAAUGAAAAGAGUACAACAUCAUCACAAUACUAGAGAAAUUAAAACAACACAAAGUAGUUCCAAGAUAGUUCAAAACAACAUAAAGUAGUCACAAAUUAAAACAACACAAUACAAAAGAAAUUAACACAACAGUCACAUCAAAGUAGUUCCAAGAUAGGUCAUUUCCUUCCUUCUGGCAUCUUCACAAAUGACACCCUGAAAUUGGGAUCCUUAAAAGCCUUUAUUGUUUUCAUAUAAAUCUCGUUGGACACCCCUUCCAUAUUGUUUAAGAAGUUUAAGCAAAUAACAUUUGAAUAAGAAUUCAGACUAUUAACUUCACUAUCCGAUUGAUUACUUGAUUUUCUUUGGAUCUUUGCAAGCUUUUCUUUUAGGUAAAGUGUUCUAAGUUCAGCUUCUUCAUUCCUCAAACUAACUGUAGAUGACCACUGUGCCAUGCAGGUCUUGAGUUUAUCACUUUUACUGGUCUUAAGUUCCUUACAUCGCCGUUCACCCGAUGCACCAAUUUCGUUACGUCGACGAGUAUUUGAAACCGUAUCGACUUCAUCAUCAUUUUCAGCACGUACAUGCACUCCCCUACUUAAAAAAUCAUCUUUUAGCUGUCUUUCUUCCUAUGAUGUCUUGGGAAGCUGAGUAGAGGCACUGCCUAAUCCUCUAGUAGCUGUAGUUCCGCUAAAUAUCUCCCCAAGAGUGUAGUAGUGCUUACAUCCUUCCUUCUUGAAUAACUUGUAAUCCGACUUAUUAAUCUAACAUUGAAAAAAGAAGCCACAUUGUCAUUUUUUUUAAAAAAAUGUAAAAUUGAUAAGAUAAAAAUUAAUGACGAAAAACAUUCUUUAAAAAAUAUAUGUUACCGUAUAAAAGUGUUGCCAAACUUCCUCUACAACAUUAACUUUGUUAGUAUUUGGAUCUCAUGUAACAUCUGUAUGUCCCAAAAGUUCAAAGAACAUGUGAUGAAUCUUACGUAAGCGGUUCCACUUUCCCUUCAAUCUAUCUAUGCCGUAAUCCAUUUUUGUUGAAGCUAUCAUGGCUUCAUUGAUCCUGCCCCAUUCGUCUUUGAUGAAUGUAGAACAUUGCAAUGCAUUUGAUUUAACUUUCUCGUAAAGAAUUUCGAUAAAAGCAUGUUCAUUCUCGUCGGACCAUGACACUAGUUCCUUAUUCCUAACUCUGUGAUUACCCAUGUUGAAGCUAUAUUGAAUAUACAUCAAAUUAAGCAAAACAUAGCAUAUUAGAAUUGCCUUACCAUAACCUGUUAAGCAAAACUAAAAUAUAAAACUUUGAUUUUAUCAAUUAGUCCGUGUAGUUUUUUAAUAUCCUAUUUCAAUUUUUUGGGGUCUUCAAGAGCUUCACUCUUGUGGGCUGUUAAAGAAGGAACGGGAGAAACUGGGAACUUCAUCUUCACCCAUAAUGACAUUUUUGGAACAAUAAGUUUGUUCACCAAUGCCUGAACUGACCAUGAUUUUUAAAAGAAACUUGUAUUCAUCCCAACCAAGAUUCUUAUUUCUCAAAACAAUUCUACAAGAGGAUUCGGUGUCUACCUUUCUGUCCUUAGUGGCCUUGUAGCAUUCAUAAUUUAGCAUGUAGCAGCAAUUAUUUUUCUGCCCCAAGAAUCUUUCAAAAAGUUGAAUGAAAACAUAAAAGAGAAAAAUAAUGUAGAUUGCAAUGAAGAACUCCAUAUUCAGAAGAGAAAGAGAGGUGUGAGUUCUGUUGAGUAGCUUACAACCUACCAAGACUUUACAGACAAAUUUUUUAAUAAAAAUAUUACAUAAAUAUUAAUCAAGAGCUCACAAGUUGGCGCUCACGAAAAAAAGCAAAAGAAUACACUUUUCCACAUCGAUAAUAUGGAGAUUAUUUUCAAACACAGAAGAAUUUUAUCGACCUUACUCCUACUUAGUCCACUUGUGGGGAUCCUUCUCUCAAACAUUUAAUACCAGUCAACCACUACCAAGAAACCAUAUUUUCAAGCAACUACUUAGAUGAAUUCAGCUAAUUAAAACAGAAUGGGAUUGUCCCUGUCAACAUAGGCGGAUAAUUUUCUUUUCAUUAGUUAAAUCCUUUGCAAAUUUGUUCCGACCGAAGAUUAGAAGGGAUUGUCCCUGUCAACAUGUUAUAACUAAGGUCUAAACUUUUGAGGAAAAGAAAGUUGUAGUUCCUCUAAAAGAAACAAUUUUCCUAUUUUUUUAGGAACAACACAUGUGAAAUUGUAUUGGCUAAGGUUCAGGCUCUUGAGGGAAUCCAAUUCAAGAAAUUGUGAAUAAAUUUCCCCAGUAAGAGAAUUUUGUGAAAAAUCCAAGUGCUCUAACAUCCUAAAGUCAUGAAAUUAGGCAAAGAACCAACCAAUCUAUUCCUACUACAAUUCAACAAUUUCAAUCCACUAAUCUCUCGGCAAUCAGUGAUGAACCCACCUGGGAUUGAGCUCAAAUAAUUAUAACAGAGAUCAAUAGACUCCAAAAAAUGGGAAAAAAGGGUGCAAAAAAUCCACUGUAACUUGUAUCAAUUUCGAAGGUAUUGUAUUCUCUCUGCAAUCCACUGUAACGUGUUUAAUUACCAAGAAUUGUCAUAAAAAUGGGGAAAAAAAAAAUCUCUACAUCCCUACAUUUUUAUACAUAUUAACAUGGAAAAUCCACCAAAUGGGUUUUACCCAAUUCAGAAACGCAAGUAGAACAAAAAAUUCAACAAUCACGAAGAAAUAAAUGUAGAUUUUUACAGAAAAACUAAAUGAGUUAUCAUCUAUUUGUUCAAAGAACAACAAAUCGAGGGCACAUUAAAAAACCAGCAAACAAACUAAAUAAGUGGUUGGAUUAAUACAGCAAAAUUGAUGUAGCAAAUAUGAAGAACGCUAACUAUAGUGCCCAAUAAAAGCAGAGGCAGCAAUGAUUUAGCGAAAGUUCACAAAAGAAAUACCUAGAGCAGAAAAUAGGAGACGAUGAUUGAUCUUCCAAAGUUUUCAGGCUGCGAACGAGGAGGAAGAGGAAACCCUAGGAAAUCUGCUCAGAAUGUGAUAGAGAGGAAAAAGAAAGAGAGAAAUGUUGUUUUCAAUGUGAAACGUGCGUUUCCCGUGUUUCCAAAAAAUUUCAAGAUUUGGCUGCAAGACACUCAAAACGUGUAAAAAGGCGUUUUGUGUUUUUAGUGUAAUUUUUAUUUGUUUUCAAAAACUCGUUUUCGAAAAUGGGAAAGAGAACGCGUUU